AGAGCGAACGCUGGCGGCAGGCCUAACACAUGCAAGUCGAACGCCCAGCAAUGGGAGUGGCAGACGGGAUAGUAACACGUGGGAACGCGCCCUUCGGUUCGGAAUAACUCAGGGAAACUUGAGCUAAUACCGGAUACGCCCUUACGGGGAAAGAUUUAUUGCCGAAGGAACGGCCCGCGUCGGAUUAGCUAGUUGGUGAGGUAAUGGCUCACCAAGGCGACGAUCCGUAGCUGGUCUGAGAGGAUGACCAGCAUCACUGGGACUGAGACACGGCCCAGACUCCUACGGGAGGCAGCAGUGGGGAAUAUUGGACAAUGGGCGCAAGCCUGAUCCAGCCAUGCCGCGUGGAUGAUGAAGGCCCUAGGGUUGUAAAGUCCUUUUAACGGGAAGAUAAUGACGGUACCGUAGAAUAAGCCCGGCUAACUUCGUGCCAGCAGCCGC
This 441-nucleotide ribosomal RNA is filed under the name uncultured bacterium. Its description in RNAcentral is "SSU rRNA". It matches the Rfam family "Bacterial small subunit ribosomal RNA", at positions 26 to 518 of the family's 1533-position model. The record is from RNAcentral.